CCUUGGCGAUUCUAUCCGCAGGAUACAAGGGUCUGUGACCACUUCCGGAGGAAGGAGGCAGAGGCGCUUUAUAGGUGCCAUUAUCGGCAGCGUAGCUCUCGGGGUUGCAACAGCUGCACAGAUUACAGCAGCUGCGGCCUUGAUACAGGCCAACCAGAAUGCUGCUAACAUCCUCCGGCUUAAGGAGAGCAUUGCUGCGACUAAUGAAGCUGUACAUGAGGUCACUGACGGAUUAUCCCAACUAGCAGUGGCAGUCGAGCCUGUACAAUCUUGCGCUUAACGUCACUAUUGAUGUGGAGGUGGACCCGAAGAGUCCGUUGAUCAAAUCCCUUUCAAAGUCCGACAGUGGAUACUACGCUAAUCUUUUCUUGCAUAUCGGACUUAUGUCUACUGUAGACAAGAAGGGGAAGAAAGUGACAUUCGACAAGAUAGAGGGGAAGAUAAGAAGGCUUAAUCUUUCUGUUGGGCUCAGUGAUGUGCUCGGAC
RNAcentral lists this unclassified non-coding RNA (486 nucleotides) under avian paramyxovirus 1. RNAcentral's name for it is "Avian orthoavulavirus 1 partial miscellaneous RNA". Lineage: Riboviria; Orthornavirae; Negarnaviricota; Monjiviricetes; Mononegavirales; Paramyxoviridae. The record is from RNAcentral.